This 202-nucleotide long non-coding RNA is filed under the name Lathyrus oleraceus (garden pea). RNAcentral's name for it is "Pisum sativum (pea) long non-coding RNA (PSAT_LNC034930)". The record is from RNAcentral. Lineage: Eukaryota; Viridiplantae; Streptophyta; Magnoliopsida; Fabales; Fabaceae.
AUCCUUAAUCCAAAUUGAAUGGGAGUUUUUGCAUUGAUCUCCAUUUUUCCUCUAGUUUUUUACUAGCAUGAUAGCAAAAGUUGUUCACGGUUUGUUUUUAUUUUGGUCUAAUGGUUUUGUUCAUGUAUGCUUUUUGCCUAUGCUUUGCCAUUUUGAUUGUGAAAUCAUGAUGCUUGAUCCAAAAUUCUUGAAAUUUUACAUG